CGAAUUCUCAUGACAUGUUCAGGUUUCCCUCUCAGGCUAUUAGAGGCUCUCUACAGUUUCUAUAGAUGACUCUGCUCCUUUCUUGAUCUCUAGCAUCACCCCUGGGCUCCAGGGCAAGGCUUCACCUUUUCUUGGCACCUGAAACCUCUGUUGACUUGUUCCUCUUCCCUUGAGUCCCCCAGCAAUUUCUUUGGGCAGGUUUUCCUUGCCUUGCCUACUUCAAAGCAACUUUCUAAGCAAAGUUGCUCUUCCUUCUUUAUUCAACACUGUGAAGUUUGGAGCAAGAGAAGAUUUCGAAGACACUCUGUUCUUUGUAUUCCCAGAACUGCAGCAUCACCUUUACCUGGGAGCUUGUGAGGACUGCAGAAUCUCAGUCUCCACCCCAAGCCUUCCAAAUUAGAAUCUCCAUUUUAAUAAGAGCCCAGGGUUGCUGCAAGGACAAACGGUUGUAGCCAGCUGAUAAAGUGUUGCCAAUGACCAUCGUGGUGGCUGUUUUGUGAUUCCAGGGGGCCUCUGGAAGAAAAAGAGCUGUGGGGAGAAAAGGAAGGGACUACCAUAUUCUCCUCCACCUAAGUUAAUUCCUUCCUAAGCGAAGAAGUUUGUGUAGCUCUUCUCUGAGAGUUGCCUUCUAAGAACUUUUUCCAAGUUGAAAUUUCCUACCAGUUGAUAAAUGACACCAUUGGAUGAUGGCACAGUGAAAACGCGGCCAUCUGAAAGCCAGGAAGAGAACCCUCGCAAGAACCCAACCAUGCUGGCAUCCCAAUCUUCAACUUCCAGCCUCCAGAACUGUAUGAGAAAAUACAUUUCUGUUGUUUAAGCCACUGUCUAUGGUACUUUGUUAUGACAGCCAAAGCUAAGACAAAA
Molecule: long non-coding RNA, 864 nt
Filed under: Homo sapiens (human)
Lineage: Eukaryota; Metazoa; Chordata; Mammalia; Primates; Hominidae
Description: HSALNT0045890
Source: RNAcentral